CAGCAGCCGCGGUAAUACGUAGGGGGCAAGCGUUGUCCGGAAUUAUUGGGCGUAAAGCGCGCGCAGGCGGUUUCUUAAGUCUGAUGUGAAAGCCCCCGGCUCAACCGGGGAGGGUCAUUGGAAACUGGGAAACUUGAGUGCAGAAGAGGAGAGUGGAAUUCCACGUGUAGCGGUGAAAUGCGUAGAGAUGUGGAGGAACACCAGUGGCGAAGGCGACUCUCUGGCCUGUAACUGACGCUGAGGAGCGAAAGCGUGGGGAGCGAACAGGAUUAGAUACCCCUGUAGUCCCUGUCUCUUAUAC
This 301-nucleotide ribosomal RNA is filed under the name uncultured bacterium. RNAcentral's name for it is "partial 16S ribosomal RNA". It matches the Rfam family "Bacterial small subunit ribosomal RNA", at positions 509 to 807 of the family's 1533-position model. The record is from RNAcentral.